RNAcentral lists this long non-coding RNA (5149 nucleotides) under Sus scrofa (pig). Its description in RNAcentral is "lncRNA (ENSSSCG00015016552.1)". Lineage: Eukaryota; Metazoa; Chordata; Mammalia; Artiodactyla; Suidae. The record is from RNAcentral.
GCAGACAUGGCUCAGAUCUGGCAUGGCUGUGGCUAUGGUGUAGGCUGGCAGCAGCUCUGAUUUGACCCCCCUGGGAACUUCUGUAUACCACAGGUGCAGCCCUAAAAAAGAAAAAAAAAACUUGAACUGUAUUUUAAUUUACUUUGCAGUUUUAUAUGAGUUUGCUAGUCUUUUUGAAAUGAUUUCUUUGAGAGUUAUUUGCGUCCUUUAGUUUCAAGACUCUUAUUUUCUUACUUAUCUGGUUUUUUUCCUAAAAGUUAAUUUUUCUUAAGGCCUAUUAAGAACAUUAAGUAAUUUUAUAAAUUUUAUUAUGCAUCUUCUAAAAUAGUAAUUUUAAAAGCAGAAUUUUCCCUUUGCUUUUUUUUUCCUAAAAAUAUUUCCAUAGGACCUGUGCUGAUUUUUUUCUCUUAAGUGAAGACAUCUAUCCACAUUCCAUGUUGCCUUUGGAUAAUCCAUUCCUUUCCUAUUUCCAUUUCCUCUCUCUUGGAUAGCUGUCAGAUGACCUUAUUAUGUUAUAGUUCCCAAGUUAGUUACUGUGUAUACUUUGUAUACUUCUCAGCCCCUUGCACAGGGUCAUCAGGGAUUUAUCUAGCUUGAUUCCACUGGACUGAAUCUGGAUUAUCUCCUCCCAUUGCUUGGUUUUAUGACACUCUGAGACAACCAAUGACCCAACACAUUAUCCCUAUAUUGUAGCAUCUCUAAAAUCAUCUAUGUACCUAUCUAUCUAACCUAUUUAUUUACAUACACAGCAGCCUGGAGCCUUCUCAGCCCCAAGAAGAGCAAUGGGACAGAAGAGGCACCCAGUUGGCUUGGCUCCAGUGCUCCUGAGCCCCAACCCCUACUCCUCCCCAGCCUCUAAAACUCUUUUUUUCUUUACUGUCUACCAAACUGAGUCUCAUAUAUGGCCUAGAGCUCACAGUAUAAAAAUGUUCGUUGUUAUUCAAUCCUACUUCUUACUCUAUCGGUUAACUGUAAUUUUACUCCUUGAAUGAAUAUGGACAGUAGAUAGGAGGGAGAAAGCAUUUCUCAGACCAUAGCCUAAUACAGUGUGUCCAUAGGAGUCAUUCAGAUUUACUGAAUUUAUUGAUAUAAGUAGCUAUAGUGAUUUGAUGUAAAUUAGAUCUAGAGUAUUGUUAUUUGCAUGGUAUACUUUUUGAGCAGCACCAAGUAUAGGACACUGUCCUUUAUAUGUUGGACUCAGUUUUAAAGUUAUAAUCAGUCAUGUAAUAGUAUUUGCUAGAUCACAUAUUUAUUUUAUAUUGUAAGCCAGAGGCCGAAUCUAUUUUGAAGCCAUAGCUUCAUUUUUCCCCUCUUCAUUGACCUAAAGACAUCCAAUAGCAUGUUUCAUUACUGAGUUCCUGUUUUCCUAUCCACUGAUGAAGGAUUUAUGUGAUGACAAAACUACACAAAGUUAUCACCACACUGCCCAGUGAGCUGUGGUGCUGGCCACUGACUAUGAGACAACUAAUUGCUAUAUGCAUGUGAGGAAAUACAGAGCUCUAAUUUCGGAGAUUGAUGGGAAAGAAAAAAAUAAAUUAUAACAUGGUUUGUAUUGAAAACCUAUGAUUAGAAGGUAAACAAUUAUAUUUUAGUGUCAUAAGACUUUGAAGGGAGUUCCUGUCGUGGCGCAGUGGUUAACAAAUCCGACUAGGAACCAUGAGGUUGCGGGUUCGGUCCCUGCCCUUGCUCAGUGGGUUAACGAUCUGGCGUUGCUGUGAGCUGUGGUGUAGGUUGCAGACACGGCUCAGAUCCCGCGUUGCUGUGGCCCUGGCGUAGGCCAGUGGCUACAGUUCCAAUUUGACCCCUAGCCUGGGAACCUCCAUAUGCCGCGGGAGGGGCCCAAAGAAAAUAGCAAAAAGACAAAAAAAAAAAAAAUAAGACUUUGAAGAUAAAAUAUAAGAUCCAUCCAUUAUGCAGUGUAUUUAAGUUAUUUAAAUUAAUAUUUUUAAAGUAAAAGCUGAAACAUUAGACAAGUAGAUUAUUGUUUUUUUCAUAAAUAUGUACAAUAUCAACAAAUUUGUGAUACUGGUAAUCAUUAUUUAAUAGAACUGGUCCUCUCAGUAUUUUUACUUUCCUAUUCCUGUAAGCCAUUCAAAUACUUGUUAAAAUUCUGUGUAAUUAUUGGUGAAUCUCCUUUAUUGUAUCUUGUUUUUAAAUCUAUUAUUAAAGUAAAAUCAUAAAAACAUUUUAUUGUGAUAUGAUAGUAUUUAAAUUUAUCAAAAAAAGUAUAAACUUAAUUAAAUGUUUAAAAUAAUGUCCAAGUUCUUUCACACUGGUAAAACGCUGCUCUGAAGAAUCUGUCCCUAGAUAUUCCACCAUGAGUAUACUUAAUAUUACAAAAAUUUAAUCGAUGCUUCUACUGUCAUCAUUGACUAAAGUGACCAAAUUUAGAAAGAUCAAAUUCUGAAUACAAAUUCUACAAAUAUUUAGUAGUCUAAAUAUUUAGAUAAUAUUUUAUAACAGUUGUAUUUUAUUUAUAACCAAUUUAUUUGAGCUAGUUUAGAAACAGCUAUUACUCGAUCUCAGUAACCCCUUUCCAAUUAAUACCAUAAAUUUUCCAAUUUUUAAAUAUACUAGUGAGUUUUAUGAACUCAAAAAGCCCUUACCAGGCCCCCAUUAUGUUCCAGACAGCAUGUAAAAUAGAAAAUUACUUCAUGACCAUGUUACUUUUGGUCAUUAGCAAGUUUUUAAUUUCCCAAUAUCAAAAUAUAGGAUUUUUUUUUUAGAAAAAGUCACUUUUGAAUAGGAAAUAAGAGUUUACUUUCCUUUGCUUCAUUUAUAUUUGAUCCCUAAUAAAUAAGAUGAUAUUAGAGAAUGGUACAUUGUAGAUGUUAAGAUUCUUGGCUGUAAGCAACAGUCAUUGUCUCUGGAAAACCUUAAAAAGGGGUAAAUAAUGGAAACGUCACAGGAUAGGAUGCUCACAGGCUUGAAGUGGAGUCUAAAAAGCUGGAUUUAGAGAAUUUAGAAAUUCAGCACUAAAGUCUCAAUAAUGGAAACUGAGUGGGACUCUGGGGUGAUGCAGUUAGAAUGAAUUAAUUCCACCUGUUUUUUCCAUCUUCACAGCAUGCACCCAUUUUAAGAUCCAAAGUUCAGAGGUGGGAUCAAGGUGGUGGAGGAGUAAGACAUGGCACUCACCCUCUCCCACAAACUCAUUAAAAAAAUUUACAUGUAGAACAUUUCACAUAGGACAUCUACUGAAUGCUGGAAUAGGACUUUAUACCUCCAAAAAGGGCAAGAAAUACUCCACAUAACUAGGUAGAACAAAAGAAAAAAAGAGAGAGAAAAGAGAAAAAAAAGGAAUCAAGAUAGGAUCAGUACUCCUGAGAGGGAGCUGUGGAGGAAAGGGAUUUACACCCUGGGAGGCCACCUAAUUGACUGGGAGAUCAGCCAGGGUGAAGGGGAAGCCUCAAAACCUCUGAGAAAAGGGCAGCAGAUGGUCAGAAGAGGGAAAAGCUGAGAGAGAGCUAUACAGACCAUCAGUGUGUGAUACUGACACAUUCAGGCCGGGACUGAUCACUGAGAGUCAGGCUUUGGAGAUUAGUCCCAGGAAGAAGACUAGGGUUGGAUGUUUGGAGAUAGCUUAAGGUGGCUAGAGAGCUGUAUGCCAUCAGCCAGGAAGUUGUGUGCCACAGCUGAGGGUACAUGUGUCUUUUUGGGUUACAGUUUUGUCCAGAAAUAUGCCCAAGAGUGGGAUUGCUGGGAUUACAUAUGAUAAUCUCCAUAUAGUUGUAGGAGGAGGCCUAGGCCUUCCAGAGAAGAAGGGUACCAUUGUUGGGGAGGGUGAGAGGCAGAGGGGUGAUACCACCAUAAGAACUUCUUUCUGUGUGCACAUGGGGUACUUGAUUGUCAGAGCCUCUCUUACAUGGACUAUAGGGGCAGGUACAAACCACCACAGGCAUCUCAGACUCUUGAGGUGGGCACAGCCUACCAUGACUAAAGGUUCCACAAUCAGGCACCACCUGCAGCUUGAGUCACCUCAGGGGUCCUCAUUGCCAUCACUGAGGGCCCUGAAACUGAUCACCAACUGUUGCCAUUGCCCCCUCUGGAGUACAAAUGCUCUGCUCUUGCCACUGACAUAGGCUCUGGGCAUUAUGCCCACCUCCCUGAGAAUCACUGCCCAUGCACAGGGCCCUGCAACCAGGACCAGUCUGUGUGCCCACCUUCCUGUGUGUCCUCAGCACUGUCAAGUGUCUGGCAACCAGGCACCAGCUAUAGGCAUUGCUUAUUUCCUCCACCUUCCUGGAAGCACAUGUAGGCUGUAAACCUGCACACCACCUAGCAAGGGGAUAACAGCCUGCACACAGUGAGGAAAGAGACAGUAAGCAUACAAACCAAAAGCAGCCCUCACAAGCUACCAGGGAGCUUCUACAUAUAAACUAGCCCUCCAAGACUAUAGUAGAUAAUUGUCUUCCCCAGACUCACAGAAUAAGAAAAAUAUAAACAAUAUGAAGAAGCACAGGAACCAUUCCCAGUUAAAGAAUGGGAGAAUUCCCCUGAAGGAGCAAACAAUGAAACAGACCUCUGCAGACUAACAGACACUGAGUUAAAAAAUGAGGUAAUUAAAAUACUAAAUGAAUUAAGAAUGGAUGUUAACAAUAACACAGAUAACUAGGGAGUUCUCAUUGUGGCUGAGUGGGUUAAAAAAAUAACAUGGUAUCUGUGAGGAGGUAGGUUCAAUCUAUGGCCUAACUCAGUGGGUUAAGGAUCCAGCAUUGCUGUAAGGCACAGUGUAGGCUGCAGAUGUGGCUUGGAUCUGGUGUGUGCAUAGGCCUGCAGCUUCAGCUCUGAUUUGACCCCUGGCCUGAGAACUUCCAUAUGCUGCAGAUAUGACUGUACAAGGGGAAAAAAAAGUAACUAACUAGAAACUACGGGUGGGGGGAGGUCCUGUUGCAGUGCAGUGGAAAUCAAUAAAUCAAUCUGACUAGGAACCAUUAGGUUGUGGGUUUGAUCCCUCACCUUACUCAGUGGGUUAAGGAUCCAGCAUUGCCAUGAGCUGUGGUGUGGGUCACAGACGUGGCUCAGAUCUGGCAUUGCUGGGGCUCUGGCAUAGGCCAGCAACUGCAGCUCACAUUAGACCCCUAGCCUGGGAACCUCCAUAUGCUAUGGGUAUGGCCCUAAAAAGACAAAAAAAAAAAAAAAAAAAGAAAAA